RNAcentral lists this long non-coding RNA (1164 nucleotides) under Homo sapiens (human). RNAcentral describes it as "HSALNT0386960". Lineage: Eukaryota; Metazoa; Chordata; Mammalia; Primates; Hominidae. The record is from RNAcentral.
CCUUUGCCAUUUCCAUGGCUUAGAAGCAAGUCACGGGUCCUAACUCACACUCAAGAGGAGGGAGCCACACAAAGCAAUGACCAUCAGGGGAAGAGAUUAGGGGUGCCACCUUAGAGUUUGCCACACGGUCUUCCUAAGAAAACCAAGAUCUAGAAUUUCUAGUAGAAUUUUCUUUUGUUCGUCUAAGAAUCAAUUGAUUCUUAAUUCUAAGCUUGAAGUGUAACUGCAUUUUUAUGGGCAGAAAGAUCAACCGUGUGAACCAAGCUGAGUAUCUUCACCAGCCCCUGAGUUGCUGCACUGUGAACUGGGUAUACAGACUGCUAAUGCUUUGUUAGGAGUUCUUUCAACAUGGAAACUACUUGAUACAUCAGCUUUGAAGCAAUGCGGCAUACGCAUGCUCUAGAAAGGUAAAAUGCUAAGGUCUGUCCUGCUGAAGAGUCCAGUGGCCACACCAGUUUCACAUUACACAGAACACAGCUUCUUCACAACCUCUGACCAUCUCCAUCCUCUGAAGUGGUCCACUGGAUCUAAUGUCCCAACAUGCUGUGCUAUUUGUAACAUGCUGAGGGCUCUGCCCCACUUACAUUCUUUACCUCUUCUAUAUGAUGCAUUAAAAUAUUUUGUGAUCCAUAACGAGUCUGAUUUGUUAAAUUAUUCAUUUACCCAAAUGUUUAUGAGCAUCUAUUACAGGGAAGUCUUGGUGACAGGUGGCAGAAUUUAAAGGAGAUACAUGAUAGUCAUUGCUUUGCCUCCUCUGAGCUAAAUAUCCUGCAAAGGAGACAGGUGCAUUACAUUAGAAAUUACAGUAAUAAUUAUUAAAAAGCCAAGAAACAACAGAUGCUGGUGAGGCUGUAGAGAAAUAGGAAUGCUUUUACAUUGUUGGUGGGAAUGUAAAUUAGUUCAACUAUUAUGGAAGACAUUGUGACAAUUCCUCAAGGAUCUAGAACCAGAAACACCAUUUGGCCCAGCAAUCCCAUUACUGGGUAUAUACCCAAAGGAAUAUAAGUCAUUCUGUUAUAAAGAUACAUGCACACGUAUGUUUAUUGCAACACUAUUCACAAUAGCAAAGACAUGGAACCAACCGAAAUGCCCAUCGAUGACAGACUGGAUAAAGAAAAUGUGGUACACACACACCACUCUAUGUGUAUGAUAUACACUAUGUGU